This 282-nucleotide long non-coding RNA is filed under the name Felis catus (domestic cat). RNAcentral describes it as "lncRNA (ENSFCAG00000045797.2)". The record is from RNAcentral. Lineage: Eukaryota; Metazoa; Chordata; Mammalia; Carnivora; Felidae.
AUGAACUGUAGUGACAAACACAUAUCCUUCGGUCAUUUUGUCAAGUCAUUUGGAAUUCAUCUCUCAAUUCUGUAUUUUCAGCAUGGUGACCACAGCGUGCUGCCUCUCACGUGGUUCUCGGAUGAGCGAGCCAACAGAAAGAUACAGAGCUUUAAAAAAAUUCCAGGAACUGACACCCGGACCUCAUGUCCCACCUUCCACUCAGGAAGUAAAGCCAGGACUAAGUUCCCUGCUGCUACAGACGGGGCAGUGCAAGAUCAGAUAAAACUAAUCAGUAACUAA